GGGGGUGUGGCUCAGUUGGUAGAGUGCUUGUUUAGAAUGUGUGAGGCACUGGGUUCAAUUCCCAGCACCACAU
This 73-nucleotide transfer RNA is filed under the name Ictidomys tridecemlineatus (thirteen-lined ground squirrel). RNAcentral's name for it is "Spermophilus tridecemlineatus (thirteen-lined ground squirrel) tRNA". It matches the Rfam family "tRNA". Rfam says of the family: Transfer RNA (tRNA) molecules are approximately 80 nucleotides in length. Their secondary structure includes four short double-helical elements and three loops (D, anti-codon, and T loops). Further hydrogen bonds mediate the characteristic L-shaped molecular structure. tRNAs have two regions of fundamental functional importance: the anti-codon, which is responsible for specific mRNA codon recognition, and the 3' end, to which the tRNAs corresponding amino acid is attached (by aminoacyl-tRNA synthetases). tRNAs cope with the degeneracy of the genetic code in two manners: having more than one tRNA (with a specific anti-codon) for a particular amino acid; and 'wobble' base-pairing, i.e. permitting non-standard base-pairing at the 3rd anti-codon position. The record is from Rfam by way of RNAcentral. Lineage: Eukaryota; Metazoa; Chordata; Mammalia; Rodentia; Sciuridae.